Molecule: non-coding RNA, 76 nt
Organism: Podarcis lilfordi (Lilford's wall lizard)
Lineage: Eukaryota; Metazoa; Chordata; Lepidosauria; Squamata; Lacertidae
Source: the annotation of a GenBank genome assembly
UCCCAGCCUUGUUGAGUCGGUAGAGCAUGAGUCUCUUAAUCUCAGGGUUGUGGGUUUGAGCCUCACGUUGGGUGAA